ACUAUAUUACCGCCGGUACACAUCCGCCCGACACUGAAACUUUUCCUUUUGCAUGGUAGCCACGACCGCCCACAGUGAGGCGGCUGUAGCCCGCUUCCGCCCUUACAGACACCCCAGGACGCGACCGAGACAGGAGGGCUGAUGUUCCUUUUGAAGAAGAGUUCAGAAAAAGGAUGGUAUCCUGUGAAGGAAAGCCGUGACAGAGGCCCAAGGAGAUGGAGCCAAGGCCUGUCAAGGAAGAAAAGGACUUUUCCCACCAAGAGUUGGAGAAAGAAGACACCAGGACUACUUCUUCCUCUUCCCAGUGGGUGGCAGCACGGAUCUCUAAGAGCUGGCCAGGUGCUCCACCUGGAUGGUGCUGGUGGUGACAGUGAGGCAGAUGUCCUUAUGAUGCUCCGCCGUCUUAUACGGGGUCAGGUCAAAGGAACACUGGGGUGGAGGGUUGGGAUUGCUGUCCCCACCACCCCCACCCUGGGGGGCUGCCCCAGGAGACUGGAAGUGUGGUGGUGGCUGUUGCUGCUGCUGCUGCUGCUGCUGCUGCUGCUGCUGCUGCUGCUGUGAUGCCUGGGCCACUGCUGCCGCUGCUGCUGCUGCCUGCACCUGUUGCUGAAGAUCAGGCGGGUUGUGUUUGCGCAUAUGUUUCAUAAGGGCCCUCUGCUAAGAUGAGCCAAGGACUUGAGGGUGCAGUGACACCUGCUCCUCAUCAGCGACUUCAGAACCAUCUCUAUGACCAGGUGCUUUUCGGGACCUCUGGUAUAAAAUCUCAAAAACAUCACAGGACGUGUCUCUUAUUUGUGAGGAAAGCCUGACUCCUCCUCUUCUCAAAGCAAGAUGUCUGAUCACUUUAAGGUGAGAUCAUCACAUCCACAAGAAGCCGGGUGAGACGGUCUAUGGCCUGUAAGUCUGGACUCCAGUUCAACUUGAGAUAGCACCAAAGAUCAUCACUUCUAGUUGGCAGGUUCCCUUCUUCCUAGUCACUCCAGAUUCACGGGAUAAACACUGGGCAUCUUUAUGAAGCAUAAGCGUUUUCAUUUUCUGUUUGCUGAUUCUCUCUGAACAUUUAGUACGUGUUUUCUUUUGUUCUCUACUCCUGGCAUCCCUCAGAGCCUUGCUUGUUGCUGUGGGUGUCACCAGGCUGGUGCCCAGCUAAUGUCUGAUUUUAUUUCCUGUUCAUAAUUGGUGCCCUAAGGGCUAGAGGUAUGGUCUUCUCCACUCAAAUGCCUCUGUUUUGGCAUCAAGGGGCAAAUCUUCCAAGAUGGGUACAUGAGUAUUUUCAGGGAGGAAAAUUAGAG
This 1292-nucleotide long non-coding RNA is filed under the name Homo sapiens (human). Its description in RNAcentral is "long non-coding RNA NONHSAT026129.2". The record is from RNAcentral. Lineage: Eukaryota; Metazoa; Chordata; Mammalia; Primates; Hominidae.